Molecule: ribosomal RNA, 263 nt
Filed under: uncultured bacterium
Lineage: Bacteria
Description: partial 16S ribosomal RNA
Rfam family: Bacterial small subunit ribosomal RNA
Source: RNAcentral
GUCCUUGCCGUAAACGAUGUAUACUUGAUGUAGUUGGGCUCAACCCUGACUGUGUCGAAGCUAACGCGAUAAGUAUACCGCCUGAGGAGUACGCUCGCAAGGGUGAAACUCAAAAAGAAUUGACGGGGGCCCGCACAAGCAGUGGAGCAUGUGGUUUAAUUCGAUGCAACGCGAAGAACCUUACCCAGGCUCGAAAUGUAAUGGACGCAAUCAGAGAUGAUUGUUCCGCAAGGACCAUUAUAUAGGUGCUGCAUGGCUGUCGU